GACUUUGUAGCUUAGACAGUAGAGCAUCGUCCUAGAAAUGCGAAGGUCGCGGGUUCGAAUCCCAGCCGCGGUCA
This 74-nucleotide transfer RNA is filed under the name Paramuricea clavata. It matches the Rfam family "tRNA". From Rfam's summary of the family: Transfer RNA (tRNA) molecules are approximately 80 nucleotides in length. The record is from Rfam by way of RNAcentral. Lineage: Eukaryota; Metazoa; Cnidaria; Anthozoa; Malacalcyonacea; Plexauridae.